GAUGAACGCUGGCGGCGUGCCUAAUACAUGCAAGUCGAGCGAAUGGAUUAAGAGCUUGCUCUUAUGAAGUUAGCGGCGGACGGGUGAGUAACACGUGGGUAACCUGCCCAUAAGACUGGGAUAACUCCGGGAAACCGGGGCUAAUACCGGAUAACAUUUUGAACCGCAUGGUUCGAAAUUGAAAGGCGGCUUCGGCUGUCACUUAUGGAUGGACCCGCGUCGCAUUAGCUAGUUGGUGAGGUAACGGCUCACCAAGGCAACGAUGCGUAGCCGACCUGAGAGGGGGAUCGGCCACCCUGGGACUGAGACACGGCCCAGACUCCUACGGGAGGCAGCAGUAGGGAAUCUUCCGCAAUGGACGAAAGUCUGACGGAGCAACGCCGCGUGAGUGAUGAAGGCUUUCGGGUCGUAAAACUCUGUUGUUAGGGAAGAACAAGUGCUAGUUGAAUAAGCUGGCACCUUGACGGUACCUAACCAGAAAGCCACGGCUAUCUACGUGCCAGCCGCCGCGGUAA
RNAcentral lists this ribosomal RNA (515 nucleotides) under uncultured bacterium. RNAcentral's name for it is "partial 16S ribosomal RNA". It matches the Rfam family "Bacterial small subunit ribosomal RNA", at positions 28 to 523 of the family's 1533-position model. The record is from RNAcentral.